GCGCUGGUUUAGCUCAGUGGUUACUUCUCAGCAAUGUCUAUACUCUCCAAGCCUUCGUCAGAGGGUUCGAACCACGGGCGCUGUCUAGCGCUUUU
Oreochromis aureus is the source of this 95-nucleotide vault RNA. Its record names the gene Vault. It matches the Rfam family "Vault RNA". Rfam says of the family: This family of RNAs are found as part of the enigmatic vault ribonucleoprotein complex. The complex consists of a major vault protein (MVP), two minor vault proteins (VPARP and TEP1), and several small untranslated RNA molecules. The record is from Ensembl. NCBI's taxonomy places the organism in Eukaryota, Metazoa, Chordata, Actinopteri, Cichliformes, Cichlidae.